Non-coding RNA from Rattus norvegicus (Norway rat), 69 nucleotides. Lineage: Eukaryota; Metazoa; Chordata; Mammalia; Rodentia; Muridae. The record is from Rfam.
GGGGAUUUAGCUCAGUGGUAGAGCACUUGCCUAGCAAGCGCAAGGCCCUGGGUUCGAUCCCCAGCUCCG